CGCGUAGGUGGUAGUGAAAGUCUAUGGUGGAAUCUUAGGGCUUAACCCUAAACUGCCUUGGAAACUUCAUUACUUGAGUCAGUGAGGGGAGGGUAGAAUUCCUGGUGUAGCGGUGAAAUGCGUAGAUAUCAGGAGGAAGGCCGGUGGCGAAGGCGGCCCUCUGGCGCUGAACUGACGCUGAGGCGCGAAAGCGUGGGUAGCAAACAGGAUUAGAUACCCUGGUAGUCCACGCCCUAAACGGUGGGUACUAGGUGUAGGGCUCGUAAGGGUUCUGUGCCGAAGGGAAACCAUUAAGUACCCCGCCUGGGGAGUACGGCCGCAAGGUUGAA
RNAcentral lists this ribosomal RNA (329 nucleotides) under uncultured bacterium. RNAcentral's name for it is "bacterial SSU rRNA". It matches the Rfam family "Bacterial small subunit ribosomal RNA", at positions 568 to 898 of the family's 1533-position model. The record is from RNAcentral.